UACCAGUACUCCUCAUAAAAAUUAAAAAAAAAAUUUAAUACGAGUAACAACAGGUUACAAUGAUCAUUUGAAAAUUGACAUCUAAGCUUAAAGACUGAGAGAAAUUUAUAGUGUUGUAAAAUAUAAAUUGAGGACUAAAUAUUACUACCAAAACUUAAUCUAACAUUGUGUUAUUUUAAACCAUACGAAUGUGGACAAGAAACUCCUCCUGAAUAAAUAUCUAUUUCGUAAGGUAACAAAGGAAGUAUGAAAAUCAAGGUAUGUUUGGAAGUGAGGUGUUGUAAUUUUUAAGCUGCAGCUGCUGUGAAGUAAAAAUUAUACCUGUAGAGUAGAAGUUAAAAAAAAAAAAUCUAUUAAGCUACCAAAACCCAACUAUAAAUGUUAUCAAAUACCUUAGUAACUGGAUUUUGACAACUUAACUACCUCACCACACUCCGAAACGGGCCCUCAAUUUGUACAUCAUAUAUCCAACUCAACUCAAUGAACAAGUAUGGGGAAGAGGGUGACUGAAGAAAGUCAAGAUCUCAAAUCAUGUGCGGCACAGGAGAUGGUCCAUUUCUAGCAAAAGCUGUGCGUCGCACAUGCUCAAACACCAAUUUUGCCAUACGUGAGCAUACAUCCCAUGUGUUUGAAGCCAAAAAAGGUGUCCAAAAUUAUGACUUUAUUAUGAAAGAGGAAAAAAAAAAAAAGAACUUGGCAAGAAAUCAAAAAUUAAUUUUACUUGUGGUGGAAUGGAAUGUAAAAAGAAUCGAUUAGUUGUGAUUGGGGGUGUAGGGACGGGAGUGUUUGGUUGAUGGAAAUUUUGAAAUCGAUGAAAUAAUUAUACGAACUUUGAAUUCAUUCAUUAUUAAUUGGUUUGAGUCUAGCUACCUAGGACUUCAGCUUAUUAAUUACCAACAUUUAUAACUAGCUAACAACAAUUCAUUGAUUAAUUAGCAUGACUUGUGGCGACACAAACGAUUUUUAUGUGUACACAAAUCAAUAAUGACCACAGAAAAUAUUAUGGAAAUCUAUCAAAUUCCUCUAAUCAUGAUUUUUAGAGAAAAUGAGCGAAGCCACUCUAUUUUUGUUUUCUUUAUUGGUGACAUUAAGCUUUCACAUUUUAAAAUCCACAAGAAACAUUAAGCUUUCACAUUUUAAAAUCCACAAGAACUCUCUA
RNAcentral lists this long non-coding RNA (1159 nucleotides) under Citrus x clementina. RNAcentral's name for it is "Citrus clementina (C. clementina) long non-coding RNA (CCLE_LNC000136)". The record is from RNAcentral. Lineage: Eukaryota; Viridiplantae; Streptophyta; Magnoliopsida; Sapindales; Rutaceae.